UAAUAAGAAGCAAUUUUGCAUUUAGUUUCGACCUAAAAGAUAGAUGUUACUCAUCCUUAUUUU
This 63-nucleotide transfer RNA is filed under the name Cerambycidae sp. 9 KM-2017. RNAcentral describes it as "tRNA-Arg". Lineage: Eukaryota; Metazoa; Arthropoda; Insecta; Coleoptera; Cerambycidae. The record is from RNAcentral.